Molecule: ribosomal RNA, 555 nt
Filed under: Triticum aestivum (bread wheat)
Lineage: Eukaryota; Viridiplantae; Streptophyta; Magnoliopsida; Poales; Poaceae
Description: partial small subunit ribosomal RNA
Source: RNAcentral
AUGGGCAGCAGGGCGGAGAACGCAUAUGUAGCUCUGGACGACAAAGUUGGCUGGGUUAGCAGGAAAUGGAGGGAUGUCAUGCCAGACGAACGAGCAACAAGUGCAGACAGGGUUACCACGCUAGAAAAAGCACUAACUGGGUUUGCGGACAGGGAUUCGGAAUCAGUUGUGGCUCCGUCCGUUGGGCUGACAUUUGACUCUGUAAAUGAGGCAUAUGAGUUCUACAACCUGUACUCCCGGGAGUCUGGAUUUGGUGUUCGAUAUGCAAAGAACAGGACCAAUGUAAAAGGGACGAAAUGCAUGCAGGAGUUCGUGUGCUGCUGCUCGGGCAAACCAAAAGAAGUAAAUUCGAAAUCGACACGAUGUCAAUGCCAGGCCAUGAUAAGGCUUCUCCGAACAGACGACCAAGGAUGGUACAUCAACGAAUUCAGGUCCAAUCACAACCACCCCAUGCUGAACACUUGUGCUGAGAAGUUGCAUUUCCCAUCACAUAGGCAUAUUGACAAAUACACGCGUGAGUUUGUUUCCCAACUGAGACAGAACAAUAUAGUAUAA